AAUUUUUCAAAAGUCAGAAGUAAUUAAAAAUUAAUUAAAACAAGUUAAAAAUCACAAAAUUCACCAAAAAUAUUAAACUUAAUCCAAAAAUUAAUUUUAAAUCAUAAAUGGGAAGAAGAAAAUAUUUAUGAAUUUUUUGUGUUGGUCCCAUAAUUUUUGAAUCAAAAAUGAAUUUCUAGUUAAUUUUGGAAGAAAAGGCUAUUUAAAAAUAAUUUUAGAAAAAUAAAAUAAAA
RNAcentral lists this long non-coding RNA (233 nucleotides) under Lathyrus oleraceus (garden pea). RNAcentral describes it as "Pisum sativum (pea) long non-coding RNA (PSAT_LNC004389)". The record is from RNAcentral. Lineage: Eukaryota; Viridiplantae; Streptophyta; Magnoliopsida; Fabales; Fabaceae.